This 5817-nucleotide long non-coding RNA is filed under the name Gossypium barbadense (sea-island cotton). RNAcentral's name for it is "long non-coding RNA (GBAR_LNC002661)". The record is from RNAcentral. Lineage: Eukaryota; Viridiplantae; Streptophyta; Magnoliopsida; Malvales; Malvaceae.
GGAAAUAAAUGAACUUAUAAAGGAAAAACGGAACUUGUUCCACAAUUUUAUAAAACCUUACAAUUCAAAAACUUAAUAACAAAACAUAAACUAAAAAUACGACUUGUAUUAUAUUAUUCUCCAAGACUGUCCGAGAUCUUCAUAUACCGAGUCCAGCAAUAAAAUUCUAAAAUAUACCUGAAAGGGAAAUAGAUGGAGGUGAGCUACACAAGCUCAGUGUGAGUUCAAAACCAAUCUAACUACAGAAACAUAAAAUAGGAUGCCGGAUAGUAGUUCAAUAAAGAAAUGUACUCACAAAAACAUACAAAUCCAGAAGGUAAUCGGAAACCAACAUCUCAAAACUUAAUGACAAUUCGAGCACACUAGGUCACACUCACAAGCACACUGUCACAUUUGCUAAUCCAUCAAACAGAAAUAGUCAGAGAAUCUCACACGCAGAACACUCAAACAGAUGCAUAUGUAUGCAGUCUGAUAUUAAAAGAACUUUCCCAUCCAGCCAAACACACCUCUCCGUCCCCCGAUCACACCUUGUAAGAGUUGUUUGGGCUCAUCCAACCAAACACACCACAUAGGACCAAAUAGGCCCAUCUAACCUUACACACCAUAUAAAGUCAUCCCGGGUUGCCCGGCAACAAUGACUCGCCGUCCUGGAUUGCCCGGCAACGAUGGCUUAUCAAAAUACAGUUGAACUGCCAAAUCAAAUAUAUAUACGUAAUAUAGCCAACGUACAUGUGGUACAGUUUAAUGUGAAAAAUCGUUAUACCGAUAAUUUACAAUUAAACUGCCAGAUCAGAUAAUGGUACGUAGCAUAGCUAACGUACAUACGGUACAAUUCGAUGCGGUAAACCGCUAUACCGGUAUAUUGCAGUUUAACUGCCAGAUCAGAUAAAUAUACGCAGCAAGCCUAACGUAUGUGUUACAAUGCAGUGCGGUAAUUCGCAGUAUAGAAAAAUUACAGUUUGAACUGCCAGAUCAGAUCAGAAUCAGACUCCCUUCUCUUCAAAACCUAUCCCAAAAUAUUUUAUACAGGUGCAUGUAUGCAUACAAUCUCAUAGAAAAGAGGCACAAUAUCAGACAAUCAGUCAGAACAGCUAUGCACACAAACCCAACAGAAUAGAUUCAGAUUCAAACAUCUUACAUGACAGUCACAGAUACACUCAGGCUAAAGCCUAGAUCAGAAUUCUUAACCACCCUGACUAAAGAUCAGCCAAGGUAGACACACAGAAAAAUGCUUGUAUCAAAGACACACAGAAUCAAAAUAAGUGACUUAAAACCACACGCCUGUGUGCUCUGGAUGUAUGGGAAUGCCUAGGUCGUGUGGGAGGUCAAAAGCCCAUUGAAAAAGGGGCACACAACCGUGUGGAUCGGAGACAUGGCUGUGGGGACAGGCUGUGUAACUCUCUGUCUAUUUGCACUAAAUUUGAGUACAUGACUGACACGGCCGUGUGAAGGUCUUAACACUCGUGUGCCCUCUAGACAUGGCCAUGUGCUUGAAACACACGCCCAUGUGGAAUCCCUAAAUCCAAACACGAUCGUGUGGCACCAAAUCGCUCAAUCCCUCAUUCCCAAUCACAAACACCCCUGUGCCCGAGGGACACGGCCGUGUGAAUAUUAAGAAAAUCCCCAAAUCGGCUACAUGGCCAUAUGGCCAGCCGUGUGACGCCCAAAUCAGCUCGAAAACCCUAAUUCCCAAAAGUACACGACCGUGUGUGUAUCAAUACACGCCCGUGUAGCCAUUUGUGUGGUCACAAAACCACCUUAAAAAUAGCCUCGAAAAAUAUGCUCCUAGCAACGAAACACUUUUCAGCCCUCAGUAGUUCAAAUAUACACCAAACCGCAUAUAUUCUAAGCAUAAAACAGCAACACAACAUCGAAAACAACCGAUUUGCAAAGCCUCACACACUUGUGUCAACUUUUCGUAAAGUCAAAAAAAGAUUCACAAAUAAAAUAGAAGAAGGUUUGAAACCCAUACCUAUUUCGUGAUCGAACACGUCCUGAUGCCGAUUUGAUGACCAAAAAAUCUAAGCUCUUCGAAACCACAACACCACCGUUUCAGAAAAGAAAACGUAAAACCAAAAGAGAGAGUAAGAAGAUAACGUGAAAAAAAAAGUCAAAAUAAAAUAAAAUAAAACAAGACAAAAUAAAUAACACUAAAUAAUUAUUACUAACUAAAAACAAAAAAAAAUAAAAGGAUUCUCCCCAAAUGCACACCCAAAGAUUCAAACCCAGAACCUUGGAAUUCUUUACACACAACCAAACCACUAGACCAGCAAGCCUAUUCUGCCACUUAAAUGUCUCACUAAACACAAUAGCGCAGCCUCUUAACUGACCCUAACCGCAAAACUCCAAAACUUCUAACCCCAAAAAUUCGGGGUGUUACAGGACUGGACUUGAACAAGGAUUUUCACACAUCGGGCCACCUUUGCCCGGCCCGAAUUCAAUUCAAAUAAUUUUUAAAAAAAAUUAAAUUUAAUUAUAAAAUCAUAUAAAAUAUAAAUUAAAAUUAUAUUUUUUAGUAUUUUAUUAUUUUUUAUAUAGUAAAAUGGAUUUUUUGAACGGGAUGAUCCGGCUUGAAAAUAGGCCUAGACUUGAAAUUUUUGUUGGAACCAAGCCUUGGCUCAACUUAGCCCAUGGACACCUUUAAUUCAGUCUAAGCUUACUUAUUUUAAAAUAUAAUUUUUAUUUUUUAAAAAUUUUGAAUGUUGAAUUUUUUAUUGUGAUCUAAUUAACCAACACACAAACGCACCUACCAAAACUUACCAGUAACGCACGAAGAGCACCGAAAUAGCUAAAUACAGAACUUUAGCAUCAAGAUAACAGGAAUAAAAAAAAUGGCGACAUAAAAAUGAAAGAGAAAUCGGCAGAGAGCAGGAAGAAGAAAAAUUCAAGUCAGAACUUUGGAAAUUUUGGAGGAGAGAUGAAAUUUUGAAAAAAAAAAGAAGAAGAAAAUAGUUUUAAAAAUUAGAUAAUAUUAGAAUCCCCCAAUUUCCUCCCCACUAACCCCUCAAACUCAAUCGCUACAGACUUUUAAUUUCACCAAAACUCUUAUUAUGCUCACACUAGGAUUCAAGCACCAAACCUCCAUUUCACUAACCCUUUACCCCUUGAACCAGCAAGUUCAUUCUAUUAUAAAAUUACAGGCAAUUAAAUAUGAGCCUACUGAACAAAGAUAGGGCUUAGAUCCAAAAAUGUCAAGAAUUGCCAAAGAUAAGACUUGAACUUGAGACCUCUCACUCACACCCAAAACACUCAACUAGUGAAACAGAUACAAACUUGUGUUAGAUUCUACAGAAGUAAAAAUAAAUUAUUUGGGGUGUUACAUUGUUAAUAUUUUAAACAUAAUCAUAAGUUUAAGGACCUAUCUAAAAUUAGACCAAUAAAAUUUAAAAUAUAAAUAUGAUAUUGUUUCUUGGAUUUAUAGAAUAAUGGAUUGUUAUAUACAUAGUAUGAGAUGAUCUAUUGAUUCUAUAUUCUUACCGUUGAAUUUAUGAAUUUUUUUUCUUAUUUCUUUUGAGUUUGAUUAAUGAUGUACUGUAUUUAUAUGUUUAUCGAAGAAUAUUUUAUAUUUAAAAUUUAUUUAAUCUCAUUAGUUGAUACUUGUCUUUUUUGUUCUUCACGGAAAGUUGUUAUAAUUAUAAGUUCAGUAAAUAAUAAUGAAAUAUAAAUUUUAAUUAUAUCUAGUACUCAAUAAGAAGAUGGAGAAAGUUAUGUUAAUUAUAGUUAUAAAUUAUUUAUAAAUUUAAUAUAUAUAUAUAAAGAAAAUAGUUGUAUAACUAAUAAUUAUUUUUACAAUACUUUAUAUAGUUAUAUUUAAAAAAAUAUUUUUAAAAUUAAAAUACUAUUAUUUUGUUCAAUAUAUUAAUAUUUAUAUUAUUUAAUUUAUUAUUGAAUAUGAAUAAAUUUUUUUUGAAAAUUAUAUUUUUAAUUUUUAGAAAUUUUAUAUAACUUUCCAUAUAUAUAUAUUUCUGAUUUGUCAAUUUCUUUUGAGAUUUAUCUAAAUUGAUUUGAAUUUUUUUUAUUUUAAAAAAUAAAAUAAUUUUAAAAUUUCUUGGAAUUUUAUAUAAAUUUUUGGAUUUUUCAAAAAAAAAUUGAGAUUUUUUUCUUUUUUUUCGAUUUUUUAAAUUUAUUUCAGGAAAAUAUAAACUAACUUUUCUUUGCUUUGGGUAUAAUUAAUAUUAGAUAACCCACAAAUUAGAUCAAUAGGAGCUUCAUGUCCUAAUCCCAUUUAAUUACUUUUGUUGUAUCAUUAAUUUAGUCGACCUUACAUAGUAGCUCUAUGGGGCAAAUAGUUAUAAAUGUUAAAUUAGUAUUUAAAUCUUGAAGUUUUUAAUUUAAAGUUCAGACUAUUAGUAUUAUAUCAAAUAUUUAAGGGUAAAUAUAUAUUCUAAUAUCUAAGCUUGGGUCAAGGUUUAAAUUAAGUACUUAAACUUGGUUUUAUAGUUCAAAUUGAUUUAAAUAACUAAGUAUUAAUUUGAAUUAAGAAGCAAAGUUCAAGUACCUAAUUAGACUAUAAAAAAAACUUUUGCUAGUAAAUUGAACCUUAAAGUCGAGUUUAGUUAUCUAAUUGGACAAAAAAAUCUUAAAUACCAAUUUAAACCCUAAAGUCAAGUUUAGGUACCAAAGUGUAUAUUUAUCUAAUAUUUAAAUUUGAUCCACCUAAUUUAAAUUUUUUUGGUCCAAUGCAAUAAGAGAAUUAAUUAAUACUUACACACAUGAUAGAGAUAAACCCACAACAGAUACACACUACAAAAAACAUUAAAAAAUAGAAAGAUAUAUUUCCUACAAAAUUUAAAAGCAUUUAAUUUUUUAACUAACAUUAGACAAAUGGAAAUGGAAAGACUUAUUUUUAAGUUUAUGGAUGAAUCUAAUUUAUCUAAACAUUGGGUUUUUUUUUUUUUGUGACGAAAUAUGGGUGAGAGAAGGUAGUAAGCUAAGUAGGGGAGUAAUAUCUCAAACAAAUAAUUAAAAAACUCCUUUAAAUGUGGCUAUAAAUACCUGAAACCAAUCCUUCUUUCCUCAACUCAAAUCUUCAAUCUUUAGAUCAUCUCUCCAAAAAAAUCUGGCAGGUUCCAACGUUUUCAUUUUAAUAGCUUGCUUCAUUUUGUUGGGUUUUUCAAGUAUGGAGGUUAGCCUAGCAACUCGAAAUAUUCAGCACGUGUCACUAAUUGAAGUGUCACCAAUAACAUUGUCGUUAUUCCCACCAUUGCCACCAAUAAGAUCUCCGUUCUUGCCACCAAUACCGCCAAUAACAUUGCCACCAAUGACAUUGGCACCAAUAACAUUGACACCAACAGGUACACCAAUCGAGGAACCAACAGAUCCACCAACCGAGAAACCAACAGAUCCACCAACUGAGGUACCAACAUUGCCUUGAAUCCCAAAGCUACCAACAAUCCCACCAUCUUAGCCUAAGCCUAUCACUGUUCUUCCACAAGUUCCCAGCAAUAGCUUGCCUUCCAUUCCUUUCAUGUCUCCAUCUCCACCUCCAUCCAGCUAUUGAAGACAAUUUGAUUCCUAAUUAGUAUCACAUAUAUUACUGAGAAUGAACUCUGUCAUCACAUUCUCUAUGAUGUUAUUUCAUGAAAUAAGAAUGUAGUUUCUAUUUACAUUUUACAUAUAUAAUAAAGUGUGGUGUUUUUUUUAAGUUAUUAAAUUAUUAAAAUUAUAUAUCCAAAAAUAUAAACAUGAUUAAAUGUUAUACAAUCAUUUAUAAAGGUAUUAUAAUUGAUGCUAUCAACUCCAACAUAGUUAUACUUCAGGAAAAAAAAACAUAACAUAAUCACUUGCCGAUGAAUGAUGUGAUUAUUUUAGGUAUAA